UGGGGAGUUGUCUUCAAUGCAAGGUCAAGGAUUAAUGGAUUAUGGUUUUGAGGAGUGUGAGAUGGAGGGAGUGAUGGAAAAAAAGACUUAGAAGGAGGAAGAAGAUUCUAUUGAAGGAAAGGAGUUUAGCUAUUUGAUAGUUAGAAAUUGAAGAGUAUCAAGUGGUAACCUUUUUAUAUCAACGGCUACCAAGGGGCAAG
RNAcentral lists this long non-coding RNA (200 nucleotides) under Gossypium barbadense (sea-island cotton). RNAcentral describes it as "long non-coding RNA (GBAR_LNC017783)". The record is from RNAcentral. Lineage: Eukaryota; Viridiplantae; Streptophyta; Magnoliopsida; Malvales; Malvaceae.